ACAAAUUUUACUUUUGGAAUAAGGGCCAAAUUGGCCACUGAACGUAACGCGAUAGUGCAAUCAAACCACUGGACCUAAAAAACGUUCAAUUACCCCACUUAACAGCGCAAAUUCCUCCAAUUUUACCUAUUAGCCCGUUUUCAUCCAUCCUUUCCGGUUGCCU
Ipomoea nil (Japanese morning glory) is the source of this 163-nucleotide long non-coding RNA. RefSeq lists it as uncharacterized. Lineage: Eukaryota; Viridiplantae; Streptophyta; Magnoliopsida; Solanales; Convolvulaceae. The transcript has 3 exons. The record is from RefSeq and is a predicted model, not a curated record.